Molecule: transfer RNA, 73 nt
Filed under: Cordylochernes scorpioides
Lineage: Eukaryota; Metazoa; Arthropoda; Arachnida; Pseudoscorpiones; Chernetidae
Description: tRNA-Thr
Rfam family: tRNA
About the family: Transfer RNA (tRNA) molecules are approximately 80 nucleotides in length. Their secondary structure includes four short double-helical elements and three loops (D, anti-codon, and T loops). Further hydrogen bonds mediate the characteristic L-shaped molecular structure. tRNAs have two regions of fundamental functional importance: the anti-codon, which is responsible for specific mRNA codon recognition, and the 3' end, to which the tRNAs corresponding amino acid is attached (by aminoacyl-tRNA synthetases). tRNAs cope with the degeneracy of the genetic code in two manners: having more than one tRNA (with a specific anti-codon) for a particular amino acid; and 'wobble' base-pairing, i.e. permitting non-standard base-pairing at the 3rd anti-codon position.
Source: RNAcentral
UCCAGGGUAGCCUAGUGGACAUGGCAUCUGCCCGGUAAACGGAACAUUGUGGGUUCGAUUCCCAUCCCUAGAC